Molecule: ribosomal RNA, 407 nt
Filed under: uncultured bacterium
Lineage: Bacteria
Description: partial 16S ribosomal RNA
Rfam family: Bacterial small subunit ribosomal RNA
Source: RNAcentral
AUUGAACGCUGGCGGCAGGCCUAACACAUGCAAGUCGAGCGGAGCGGCGGACGGGUGAGUAAUGCCUAGGAAUAUGCCUGGUAGUGGGGGAUAACGUACGGAAACGGGCGCUAAUACCGCAUACUAUCAGAUGAGACUAGGUCGGAUUAGAUAGUUGGUGGGGUAAAGGCCCAAAAAGGCUACGAUCCGUAACUGGGCUGAGAGGAUGAUCAGUCACACUGGAACUGAGACACGGUCCAGUCUCCUACGGGAGGCAGCAGUGGUGAAUAUUGGACAAUGGGCGAAAGCCUGAUCCAGCCAUGCCGCGUGUGUGAAGAAGGUCUUCGGAUUGUAAAGCACUUUAAGUUGGGAGGCGUUACCAACAGAAUAAGCACCGGCUAACGUCGUGCCAGCAGCCGCGGUAAUUC